Molecule: ribosomal RNA, 322 nt
Filed under: uncultured eukaryote
Lineage: Eukaryota
Description: partial 18S ribosomal RNA
Rfam family: Eukaryotic small subunit ribosomal RNA
Source: RNAcentral
CCCUUGGAUGUUCUGGGCCGCACGCGUGCUACACUGAGUGGAUCAGCGGGUCAGGUUGCGCGAAAGUGUUUCCUAAUCUUUAAAUCCGCUCGUGAUGGGGAUUGACGGUUGCAAUUUUCCGUCAUGAACGAGGAAUACCUUGUAAGCGCGGGUCAUCAUCCCGCGCUGAAUACGUCCCUGCCCUUUGUACACACCGCCCGUCGCUCCUACCGAUUGAGUGGUCCGGUGAGGCUUUGGGAUCUGAGCGGAAAGAGCGUUUCGCUGUUUCUGCUCGGAAAACUCAGUCGAACCUUAUCAUUUAGAGGAAGGAGAAGUCGUAACA